UGUUUAACCAAUGUUUACCAU
RNAcentral lists this non-coding RNA (21 nucleotides) under Caenorhabditis elegans. Lineage: Eukaryota; Metazoa; Nematoda; Chromadorea; Rhabditida; Rhabditidae. The record is from RNAcentral.